RNAcentral lists this long non-coding RNA (1235 nucleotides) under Rattus norvegicus (Norway rat). RNAcentral describes it as "long non-coding RNA NONRATT007164". Lineage: Eukaryota; Metazoa; Chordata; Mammalia; Rodentia; Muridae. The record is from RNAcentral.
AUCUGCACACUCUUUGUAAUCAGAGACGUGGCAGGUCUAAUAAAUUAAUUACAUUUAUUUUACAAAACGGGAUUGAAACCCGUGGCUGUUACAGAAACAAUGCAUCACACAGAAAGGGCUAAGGGGUAUUCAUCAAUUAAGGACCUGUGAUGCAGGCCAAAACGUGACUUCAGCCAGCAGAGGUGGAUGCUUAGCAAACCUCAGACAGAGGCACACUGUAGGGAAAGUUUAGCUGCCAUUAUUAGGAUGGUGUUAGAAACAAAGUUAAAAACAAAAACUCUUAAGAAUUUCUCAAAAUACACAACUAAUGAUAUCUGUGUUUUCACAGGUAGAUUUAAAAAAAAAUAAAUGUUUACAGAAAUCUUUGUGAAGGUUUUUUAUUAUGAGAUAUGGAGCUUCUUUAUACCGCUCAGGUAGUUUCUUACUAACUUCAAGACUAGUAUUAAACAUUCUGAAAUAGUUAUUUUGGGGGUAGAUUCAGGGUUUGAGAUUACUACAGUUCAGAUUUUCUGAUCCGUUUUUUUAAACACUAGAGAAGAAAAGUGUAACUUGAAAAGCAGCUUCAUAGUUCAUCCUCUCCGGUUGGCCCUUUGAUAACUUCUGGCUUUGGGUAUACAUGGAUAAUUAGUGUCCGUGUUUCUACUUGAAACUGGUAAAAGUUGUCACUGGCUGGAAAAUGUCAUCUCAUGUGCAAGAUGGUCUGUUUACACUGGUACUUUAUAAAGCAGUAUUUUGUUUGUUUUGAGCUCUCUUGAACCUUGUCCAUCUUUCUCAUUUUGCUCACAAUAGGAUGGGACUGGUUUGAAGUUAAAGGAAAAAAUGAAGGUAUUUUGUCUUUCGGAGUUGUCACAUGACUCCUUCAUAAGAUUCAAAAGCCCUGAAAGGCAUUUAUACAUGGAGUUGUUCUAACCUUUUAAAAAGGAAAGAAACAACUUGGUGCUCUAAAGCGGAGCUGUUUUCAAAAUGAAAAAUAAAAUGAAACAGGAAAUAGACUGUUGGCCCAGAUAGUCAUUCAGGUUUUAAAAAAUGGCCGCACACAGUAAUACUGCUAAAAAAAAAAAAAAACAAAAACAAAAACAAAAACUUACCUCCUUAUUGGGUUGCAUCUUUUUUCAGCUAUUAAUUUUAUACCAAAAUGUUAAAUAUUUAUAUUGCUUGAGUUUCAAUCUUGUAUGGAAAAAUAACUAGUAGGUCUAAAAAUUCUACGCUUUCCAAUAAAUAAGGUAAAAAUCAUC